RNAcentral lists this ribosomal RNA (496 nucleotides) under uncultured bacterium. RNAcentral describes it as "partial 16S ribosomal RNA". It matches the Rfam family "Bacterial small subunit ribosomal RNA", at positions 28 to 506 of the family's 1533-position model. The record is from RNAcentral.
GACGAACGCUGGCGGCGUGCCUAAUACAUGCAAGUUGAGCGCUGAAGGUUGGUACUUGUACCGACUGGAUGAGCAGCGAACGGGUGAGUAACGCGUGGGGAAUCUGCCUUUGAGCGGGGGACAACAUUUGGAAACGAAUGCUAAUACCGCAUAAAAACUUUAAACACAAGUUUUAAGUUUGAAAGAUGCAAUUGCAUCACUCAAAGAUGAUCCCGCGUUGUAUUAGCUAGUUGGUGAGGUAAAGGCUCACCAAGGCGAUGAUACAUAGCCGACCUGAGAGGGUGAUCGGCCACAUUGGGACUGAGACACGGCCCAAACUCCUACGGGAGGCAGCAGUAGGGAAUCUUCGGCAAUGGACGAAAGUCUGACCGAGCAACGCCGCGUGAGUGAAGAAGGUUUUCGGAUCGUAAAACUCUGUUGGUAGAGAAGAACGUUGGUGAGAGUGGAAAGCUCAUCAAGUGACGGUAACUACCCAGAAAAGGACGGCGAACUACGU